GAUGAACGCUGGCGGCGUGCCUAAUACAUGCAAGUCGAGCGAACAGACGAGGAGCUUGCUCCUCUGACGUUAGCGGCGGACGGGUGAGUAACACGUGGAUAACCUACCUAUAAGACUGGGAUAACUUCGGGAAACCGGAGCUAAUACCGGAUAAUAUAUUGAACCGCAUGGUUCAAUAGUGAAAGACGGUUUUGCUGUCACUUAUAGAUGGAUCCGCGCCGCAUUAGCUAGUUGGUAAGGUAACGGCUUACCACGGCGACGAUGCGUAGCCGACCUGAGAGGGUGAUCGGCCACACUGGAACUGAGACACGGUCCAGACUCCUACGGGAGGCAGCAGUAGGGAAUCUUCCGCAAUGGGCGAAGGCCUGACGGAGCAACGCCGCGUGAGUGAUGAAGGUCUUCGGAUCGUAAAGCUCUGUUAUUAGGGAAGAACAAAUGUGUAAGUAACUAUGCACGUCUUGACGGUACCUAAUCAGAAAGCCACGGCUAACUACGUG
Molecule: ribosomal RNA, 497 nt
Filed under: uncultured bacterium
Lineage: Bacteria
Description: partial 16S ribosomal RNA
Rfam family: Bacterial small subunit ribosomal RNA
Source: RNAcentral